This 253-nucleotide ribosomal RNA is filed under the name uncultured bacterium. RNAcentral's name for it is "partial 16S ribosomal RNA". It matches the Rfam family "Bacterial small subunit ribosomal RNA", at positions 524 to 776 of the family's 1533-position model. The record is from RNAcentral.
UACGUAGGGUGCAAGCGUUAUCCGGAAUGAUUGGGCGUAAAGAGCUCGUAGGCGGUCUGUCACGUCGGCUGUGAAAACCCGAGGCUCAACCUCGGGCCUGCAGUCGAUACGGGCAGACUAGAGUUCGGUAGGGGAGACUGGAAUUCCUGGUGUAGCGGUGAAAUGCGCAGAUAUCAGGAGGAACACCGGUGGCGAAGGCGGGUCUCUGGGCCGAAACUGACGCUGAGGAGCGAAAGCGUGGGGAGCGAACAGG